GACGAACGCUGGCGGCGUGCUUAACACAUGCAAGUCGAACGAAGAGCGAUGGAAGCUUGCUUCUAUCAAUCUUAGUGGCGAACGGGUGAGUAACGCGUAAUCAACCUGCGCUUCAGAGGGGGACAACAGUUGGAAACGACUGCUAAUACCGCAUACGAUCUAAUCUCGGCAUCGAGGAUAGAUGAAAGGUGGCCUCUACAUGUAAGCUAUCACUGAAGGAGGGGAUUGCGUCUGAUUAGCUAGUUGGAGGGGUAACGGCCCACCAAGGCGAUGAUCAGUAGCCGGUCUGAGAGGAUGAACGGCCACAUUGGGACUGAGACACGGCCCAGACUCCUACGGGAGGCAGCAGUGGGGAAUCUUCCGCAAUGGACGAAAGUCUGACGGAGCAACGCCGCGUGAGCGAUGACGGCCUUCGGGUUGUAAAGCUCUGUUAAUCGGGACGAAAGGCCUUCUUGCGAAUAGUGAGAAGGAUUGACGGUACCGGAAUAGAAAGCCACGGCUAACUACGUG
Molecule: ribosomal RNA, 510 nt
Filed under: uncultured bacterium
Lineage: Bacteria
Description: partial 16S ribosomal RNA
Rfam family: Bacterial small subunit ribosomal RNA
Source: RNAcentral